GGCGCACGGGUGAGUAACGCGUAGAUAACCUGUCUUCACGUCUGGAAUAAUACGCCGAAAGGGGUACUAAUACCGGAUAUUCUUGCUUUUCAUAAGUUUUGCAAGGAAAGGUGGCCUCUGAAUAUGCUACUGCGGGAAGAGGGGUCUGCGUACCAUUAGCUAGUAGGUGGGGUAAUGGCCUACCUAGGCUACGAUGGUUAGCGGGUCUGAGAGGAUGAUCCGCCACACUGGCACUGGAACACGGGCCAGACUCCUACGGGAGGCAGCAGUGAGGAAUAUUGCGCAAU
RNAcentral lists this ribosomal RNA (287 nucleotides) under uncultured Desulfobulbus sp. RNAcentral describes it as "partial 16S ribosomal RNA". It matches the Rfam family "Bacterial small subunit ribosomal RNA", at positions 97 to 372 of the family's 1533-position model. Lineage: Bacteria; Pseudomonadati; Thermodesulfobacteriota; Desulfobulbia; Desulfobulbales; Desulfobulbaceae. The record is from RNAcentral.